GAUGAAGAACGUAGCGAAAUGCGAUAAGUAAUGUGAAUUGCAGAAUUCAGUGAAUCAUCGAAUCUUUGAACGCACAUUGCGCCCCUUGGUAUUCCGAGGGGCAUGCCUGUUCGAGCGUCAUUACACCACUCAAGCACUGCUUGGUAUUGGGCACUCGUCCGUCGAAAGACGGGCGUGCCUCGAAGACCUCGGCGGGGUUUCUCCAACUUCGGGCGUAGUAGAGUUAAAUCAAAACGUCUUAUAAGCUUGGUGAGAUCUCAUUGCCGUUAAACCUUUUUUUUUCAGGUUGACCUCGGAUCAGGUAGGGAUACCCGCUGAACUUAAGCAUAUCAUAAGCGGAGGA
RNAcentral lists this unclassified non-coding RNA (343 nucleotides) under soil metagenome. RNAcentral describes it as "partial contains 5.8S ribosomal RNA, internal transcribed spacer 2, and large subunit ribosomal RNA". The stretch from base 1 to 120 matches the Rfam family "5.8S ribosomal RNA", at positions 35 to 154 of the family's 154-position model. The record is from RNAcentral.